This 492-nucleotide ribosomal RNA is filed under the name uncultured bacterium. RNAcentral's name for it is "partial 16S ribosomal RNA". It matches the Rfam family "Bacterial small subunit ribosomal RNA", at positions 29 to 507 of the family's 1533-position model. The record is from RNAcentral.
AGUGAACGCUGGCGGUAGGCCUAACACAUGCAAGUCGAACGGCAGCACAGUAAGAGCUUGCUCUUACGGGUGGCGAGUGGCGGACGGGUGAGGAAUACAUCGGAAUCUACUUUUUCGUGGGGGCUAACGUAGGGAAACUUACGCUAAUACCGCAUACGACCUACGGGUGAAAGCAGGGGAUCUUCGGACCUUGCGCGAUUGAAUGAGCCGAUGUCGGAUUAGCUAGUUGGCGGGGUAAAGGCCCACCAAGGCGACGAUCCGUAGCUGGUCUGAGAGGAUGAUCAGCCACACUGGAACUGAGAAACGGUCCAGACUCCUACGGGAGGCAGCAGUGGGGAAUAUUGGACAAUGGGCGCAAGCCUGAUCCAGCCAUACCGCGUGGGUGAAGAAGGCCUUCGGGUUGUAAAGCCAUUUUGUUGGGAAAGAAAAGCAGCAGGUUAAUACCCCGCUGUUCUGACGGUACCCAAAGAAUAAGCACCGGCUAACUUCGUG